Photinus pyralis (common eastern firefly) is the source of this 593-nucleotide long non-coding RNA. RefSeq lists it as uncharacterized. The transcript has 3 exons. Lineage: Eukaryota; Metazoa; Arthropoda; Insecta; Coleoptera; Lampyridae. The record is from RefSeq and is a predicted model, not a curated record.
AUAGUAGGUAAUAAUAUUGGCAGGGGUCGAUUUUCAUUUUGAAAAAUCCAGCAAAUGAAGUGCACGCAUCCCUGGGCCAUAGCAUUAUCAAAUAAUGCAUACAAGGCGCUUUAAUUAAAUAGUUCAAUCACAAUUACGAGAUCAAUUAAUAUUAAUUAUCGAAUUUUGACUGCAUAUAAUAGCGCCAAACGUAUAUUAGAUUUCGGCACGUUUGUGUACGUGCUUCCUGGUAGAACAUCAAGGAAACUGUUAUGGAAAUAGGCUGCCGGUAGCCAAGAAAAAUGAAAUCCAUCAACGUCGCUUCCGACCACACCGAAAACACCAAUGAUCACGUCACAGUCAAAAAGUUGCAAGAAACUGAUGUGAAACUUUUUAAUCUACAAUGGAUUUUUCUUCAAAUCACAGGGGAUAGAAAAAAUCAUCAAACAAUGUCGUGAAGAGAAAAGGUUUUGAUAAAUAUUAAUGUGUCCGUCCUUUUUGUUAGGCUGGGUAACAAUUAUUUCAUUUUUAUAAUGAAUUCUAACUAUGUAUGUGUGAAAUUUCAACCAGUACAAUCUAAGGGAAAAACUUUGAAUAAAUAGCACAUUCACAAA